This is a long non-coding RNA of Lepisosteus oculatus (spotted gar), 961 nucleotides long. RefSeq lists it as uncharacterized. The record is from RefSeq and is a predicted model, not a curated record. NCBI's taxonomy places the organism in Eukaryota, Metazoa, Chordata, Actinopteri, Semionotiformes, Lepisosteidae.
UGGGAUUGAAUCUGCUCUACUUUGCAAUUUGAAUGUGGUUGUUCUUUGGUGUUAACUUCUUAGAAUCACUCAUACCUCUUCAUUGCUCAUUGGAUUGUUUUUCACUUGUAAAGGAUGACAGCUGAAGCACCAGGGAAGAGGACAGAAGCAACAGUUUGAAGAUGCUCAAAAGCUCUAUAGAAUGAAACAAAGAAAAAUAUUUAUCUAAUGUCAGGACAAGGAGGACCCAGGAAGAGGAAUUCAUAGACAGUAAAGUGAAAAAUAUUUUCAUAUUUACCAAAAACAAUAGGAAACAUGAAUAUUUCACUAGUUUGGCCAAAUCCUAAGGUGACCUGAGGGCGCAAUUUAAAAUGGAUCGAUUUACUGAUUUGUCACAAAACCACAUAAAAACAGAUUUUCACGGUAUUGAAAUAGUUUUGUGCUGUAUAUAUGCUGGCAACAUUUAUGAUAUGAGGCAGUGACACUUUAUUUUAAGGUACUGCAUAUUGAGGCCGGGCACUUUUCUCUGUUUACUGGGCUGAUCGUGUUUCUCAUCCCUCACCCCAGCAACUUUAACCUCUCUGAGGACUGAAACUGAUUUUGAAUUCGGCUAAAUGAGCAAGGAAGGAUCACUAAAUGUUUAUUCCCCGUGACAUUCCCGGCCUUUAUUCUAACCUAGUUCCAUCCAGAAAAAGCAUAUCAAGUGUGGUGAAAAAGGUAAAUAUCAGAGCUCGUGUGUCCACCAUUAGGAGAAGAUUGAAUAGGAAUGGCUUUCAUGGAAGGAUGGCCAGGAGGAAACCCAUGUUCUUUGGGAAGAGCAUUGCUGCAUCGGUGAAGUGUGCAAAACAUUGCUUGAAUGAGGAACAAGACUUCUGGAACAAUGUGCUCCGGACAGGCACUAACAGAUAUUGCAGUUACGUACACAGUGAAAAAAUAACCAUGUUGGCACAAAGAACGGACAAAGAGAAUUGGAAAAUCAGUA